This 105-nucleotide ribosomal RNA is filed under the name Clostridioides difficile. RNAcentral's name for it is "partial 16S ribosomal RNA". It matches the Rfam family "Bacterial small subunit ribosomal RNA", at positions 1438 to 1533 of the family's 1533-position model. The record is from RNAcentral. Lineage: Bacteria; Bacillati; Bacillota; Clostridia; Peptostreptococcales; Peptostreptococcaceae.
ACCUUUUGGAAGAAGUCGUCGAAGGUGGAAUUAAUAACUGGGGUGAAGUCGUAACAAGGUAGCCGUAUCGGAAGGUGCGGCUGGAUCACCUCCUUUCUAAGGAGA